GAUGAAGAACGCAGCGAAAUGCGAUAAGUAAUGUGAAUUGCAGAAUUCAGUGAAUCAUCGAAUCUUUGAACGCACAUUGCGCCCGCCAGUAUUCUGGCGGGCAUGCCUGUUCGAGCGUCAUUUCAACCAUCAAGCCCCAGACUUGUGUUGGGGACCUGCGGCUGCCGCAGGCCCUGAAAACCAGUGGCGGGCUCGCUGUCACACCGGGCGUAGUAGAUUUUAUCUCGCUCAGGGCGUGCUGCGGGUUCCGGCCGUUGAAAAGCCUUUUUUACCCAAGGUUGACCUCGGAUCAGGUAGGAAGACCCGCUGAACUUAAGCAUAUCAAUAAGCGGAGGA
This 336-nucleotide unclassified non-coding RNA is filed under the name soil metagenome. Its description in RNAcentral is "partial contains 5.8S ribosomal RNA, internal transcribed spacer 2, and large subunit ribosomal RNA". The stretch from base 1 to 120 matches the Rfam family "5.8S ribosomal RNA", at positions 35 to 154 of the family's 154-position model. The record is from RNAcentral.